This 230-nucleotide unclassified non-coding RNA is filed under the name Glomeraceae sp. Its description in RNAcentral is "partial contains 5.8S ribosomal RNA and internal transcribed spacer 2". The stretch from base 1 to 71 matches the Rfam family "5.8S ribosomal RNA", at positions 84 to 154 of the family's 154-position model. The record is from RNAcentral. Lineage: Eukaryota; Fungi; Glomeromycota; Glomeromycetes; Glomerales; Glomeraceae.
GUGAAUCAUCGAAUUUUUGAACGCAAAUUGCGCUUCCUGGCAUCCCGGGAAGUAUGCCUGUUUGAGCGUCAUUAUUCACAAAAAAUCAGUUUGGUUGCAAAGUGUGACGUUUCCGGAGGUGGGGCUAUCUGAAAUUCUUUGGGUAACGGGCUUAAAAUUGACCGUAUUUGCGCGUUUUUAGACGUACAUAAAUGUUUUUUUUAUUCGUCUAUUCUUAAUGCCAAAAUCAU